AUGACUGGGGUGAAGUCGUAACAAGGUAGCGCUAGGGGAACCUGGCGCUGGAUCACCUCCUUAUACGAUGAU
Molecule: ribosomal RNA, 72 nt
Filed under: Vibrio vulnificus
Lineage: Bacteria; Pseudomonadati; Pseudomonadota; Gammaproteobacteria; Vibrionales; Vibrionaceae
Also listed under: 1 other name
Description: partial 16S ribosomal RNA
Rfam family: Bacterial small subunit ribosomal RNA (bases 1-63)
Source: RNAcentral